RNAcentral lists this long non-coding RNA (750 nucleotides) under Homo sapiens (human). RNAcentral's name for it is "novel transcript, antisense to DOCK1". Lineage: Eukaryota; Metazoa; Chordata; Mammalia; Primates; Hominidae. The record is from RNAcentral.
CCCAGUUCUCCCUUAAAAAUACUUGGGGGAAGAAAGUGCUUGACUACUCACAGUCCUGUGAUGACCUGUGGCGGAAGGUAAACCGAAGGUGACUGCGGUUAACGUCCUCGAUGGGAAUGGCCACCUUCAAGAAUUGAAAAAGAAGUUUAAGCACUGUUAUCAAUAUCAUCCAGCGUAACAGCUUUAUUCAACUGGAGCUAUCAGAGAAAUAUGCAACUGCGAAGUUCUCACGGGAGAAGUCCUGAGCACACUGCAAGGCAUCCUGGGACCACAGUCUCAAGGGUCACAGAGGAAGGGACUUCGGGGCUGAGACCUGCAGGAAGUGAGGGAACUGCAGGCCUGUCCUCACCCAGGGGAGGUGGAGCCCCCAGACGCUGUGAUAUGAAAUUCCAGAUCAUGGGAGGGAGAGUUUGAAGAAGGAAGAACCACCAAUAGAAAGCGGUCCCCAAAGAGGUAUCGGGGAUGGCACCCAGACAGGAGCACAUGUACCACUGCCCAGAAUGUGCAUUUCACUAGACAAGUGACCACAAAAGUUUUCACUGUGACUUGAAAAUGCCCACUCCUCCCAGAAGUUCAAGGAACUGGACCCCCGGACAUGAGCCCAAGGUUCGCCGGCUUCAAAGAUCCUGGCCACACACCAGUGAGCCUGGCAGAGGCAGGCUUCUGGUCCUCUUUCCCAGUGAUUUCCUGCUGGCCUGACACCAAACUCCACUUUCCCUGAAUGACUCUAAUAAAAGUUUAUCAAAACUC